Molecule: long non-coding RNA, 255 nt
Filed under: Elaeis guineensis (African oil palm)
Lineage: Eukaryota; Viridiplantae; Streptophyta; Magnoliopsida; Arecales; Arecaceae
Description: long non-coding RNA (EGUI_LNC018383)
Source: RNAcentral
CAUCGCGUGGUACUGAAAAGAUCUUGGGAAGUGGUGUCCUGGCCAGACAUCCACCCAACACAACUGACUCUGCCAUGUUUGUGUUCCAUUCUACAUGAGGGAUCAUUUUCCUCUUAUUAUAUGUUGAUGAUCUUAUCAUUAUUGGUAGCUCCUCUCUAUUGGCUUAAUUUUUACUUGGCAGGCUGGGUUUGCCAUGAAAGAUUUGAGCCCUCUUUAUUACUUCCUAAGAGUGGAAGUUUCUAAUUUGACUAGUGU